RNAcentral lists this ribosomal RNA (501 nucleotides) under uncultured bacterium. RNAcentral's name for it is "partial 16S ribosomal RNA". It matches the Rfam family "Bacterial small subunit ribosomal RNA", at positions 30 to 523 of the family's 1533-position model. The record is from RNAcentral.
AUUGAACGCUGGCGGCAGGCUUAACACAUGCAAGUCGAGCGGGGGAAGGUAGCUUGCUACUGGACCUAGCGGCGGACGGGUGAGUAAUGCUUAGGAAUCUGCCUAUUAGUGGGGGACAACAUCUCGAAAGGGAUGCUAAUACCGCAUACGUCCUACGGGAGAAAGCAGGGGAUCUUCGGACCUUGCGCUAAUAGAUGAGCCUAAGUCGGAUUAGCUAGUUGGUGGGGUAAAGGCCUACCAAGGCGACGAUCUGUAGCGGGUCUGAGAGGAUGACCCGCCAAACUGGGACUGAGACACGGCCCAGACUCCUACGGGAGGCAGCAGUGGGGAAUAUUGGACAAUGGGGGGAACCCUGAUCCAGCCAUGCCGCGUGUGUGAAGAAGGCCUUAUGGUUGUAAGGCACUUUAAGCGAGGAGGAGGCUCUUUUGGUUAAUACCCAGAAUGAGUGGACGUUACUCGCAGAAUAAGCACCGGCUAACUCUGUGCCAGCAGCCGCGGUAA